Long non-coding RNA from Condylura cristata (star-nosed mole), 501 nucleotides. RefSeq lists it as uncharacterized. NCBI's taxonomy places the organism in Eukaryota, Metazoa, Chordata, Mammalia, Eulipotyphla, Talpidae. The transcript is spliced from 3 exons. The record is from RefSeq and is a predicted model, not a curated record.
CAAACGGCACAGAGGGGACUCGAACCCAGGAUUCCACUGUGAUCUCUAGAAGCUGUCGCCACCUGCCUGCUUUUGUGGGAGCGAAAGCUCUCACACCACGAUGCCUGAUCUGUUCCUUCGUGUUCCAGGCGGCUGGCGCCCUUUGCCUCUGAAGAUGCUGCUUUUCUGAGUCAGGAGAGCCAGGUGAAACGAAUACUGUCAUCAGCACCAUAGAGACAGAUGAUUGGGCAGUGACCUAGAGGACGCGGAGUGACACACCUGAAUGCCUUUCUGCUUUCCGACCGCGAGCUCCUGGUGCUGCCAUAUCACUGGCCUGGUGAUGCUGUCUCAGACCCUCCCGCAAAGGACUAGAAAUUCCCUCUGUUCUGCGGCCACUUUGUCCAUUCUUCAUGCAUUCGCCUCGUGAUGAUUUAUUUGAAGUCUUGCUGCCUGGAGAGUCAAUGAGCUCCUUCAGAGCGAGCUAUUUAUAGUCCCCGUGCGGAGUAGACACUCAAAAAGAUG